AUGACAAUUGAAGUCAAUUAACACAUCUGCUAUCAAAAGAAAUCAGAAACAAGUUAACCUUCCCGGAACAGAAAACAUGAAUGUUCCACUUUCCACUUUCAUGUAUUUAGCUGAACCAUGCAGCCACUAGCUAGUAGUCAUCUCUCCCUUUCUCUAGAAACGAACAUUGUCAUUGAUACUACAAUUGCUAAAAGUAUACUGCAUGCCAUUUAAAAGUUUGUAACU
Molecule: long non-coding RNA, 225 nt
Organism: Neltuma alba
Lineage: Eukaryota; Viridiplantae; Streptophyta; Magnoliopsida; Fabales; Fabaceae
Exons: 3
Source: RefSeq, a predicted model, not a curated record